Molecule: long non-coding RNA, 505 nt
Organism: Neopelma chrysocephalum (saffron-crested tyrant-manakin)
Lineage: Eukaryota; Metazoa; Chordata; Aves; Passeriformes; Pipridae
Exons: 3
Source: RefSeq, a predicted model, not a curated record
GCUCACACGAAAAGGCGGGGGGGGGGGAGGAAGAAGAGCUAAUUGUUUUGGCCCGUGUGCUCUGGGCCUGUUGCAGGCUCGCAGCCCAUGAACAUUCCUGCCCUCUGUGCCCCGAUUCAGUUCGAGGGGCUGUGGCAAAACCACUGUUUUGCUUUCAAUGUGACCGAACAAUGUAUCAGAAGUUGACUGUUUGCAGAAAGUCUUCUUUCAGCAGAUAGACUUGGAAACUGUGCCACCAGAACUGAGACUGAAAAUGGAAACAACUUUUAUGCAGAAGCAAACGAAUAAUGGAACAUACCUUAACAACUGCAAGUCAGACACAUCAAGACAAAAGGGUUUGGACUGUAACGAGAAUUCCUAAGAUAGUAAGCCUGUUCUGGUUUAUCCAGUUGCUUGUGUGGGGUAUUAACUGCAGUUUGUAAGGGACUACUGAAAUGGUCAGUCUCCUGAAGAUAAUCUCAAAAAAUUUCUUCUGCUUGAAGAGUGAUCUUCUCAGACAGUGGAG